This is a long non-coding RNA of Polistes dominula (European paper wasp), 494 nucleotides long. RefSeq lists it as uncharacterized. The record is from RefSeq and is a predicted model, not a curated record. NCBI's taxonomy places the organism in Eukaryota, Metazoa, Arthropoda, Insecta, Hymenoptera, Vespidae.
AUUGGUGUUCACUCUAUAUUUGUUAUUUUUACCUGAGCUUAAUACCUGCUGAUUUGUCGUUACAUUGAAGUUAUGCAUUUGUUUCUUAAAUAAAUAUUUAGUUAUUGCUUAAAAAUAAGGCAUAGGUUAUUAAAGAAAACAGAAGUUAACAAAAUGGUAUGUGUACCGUGCGUUGCUGUUCCCAUAUUGUUAAUUAUAUGGAGAUUUUUAAUUCAACCAAUUAUUAUAAAAUGGUGGCAAUUAAAAAACAAAAUCAAAUGUACUAAUGAAAAAGAACCAACAUCAGAUUUAGUUAAAGAAUGUAAAAAUGGAGUAUGUACAUUAGCAUGGAAGAAAAAGGACGAAGAUAUAGGAAAAGUUGAUUAAAAUUUGAUUGAAAAAAAUUUAGCAAAUCAUUCCAAAGACUGCUACUAUGCAGAUACAAUAGCCUGUACAGAUGUGUUUCUAUUUAUUAAAUAUAUUUUUCAUAUUUUAAAGUUUAUCUUCAAAACAAU